CCUACGGGUGGCAGCAGUGGGGAAUAUUGCACAAUGGGGGACACCCUGAUGCAGCGACGCUGCGUGAGUGAAGAAGUAAUUCUUUACGUAAAGCUCUAUCAGCAGGGAAGAAACACUGACCUUACGGUCAGCAGACGGUACCUGAGUAAGAAGCCCCGGCUAACUACGGGCCAGCAGCCGCGGUAAUACGUAGGGGGCAAGCGUUAUCCGGAUUUACUGGGUGUAAAGGGAGCGUAGACGGUGCGCCAAGUCUGGUGUGAAAUGCCGCAGCUUACCUGCGGAACUGCUUUUGAAACUGGCGAACUAGAGUGCGGGAGGGGUAAGCGGAAUUCCUAGUGUAGCGGUGAAAUGCGUAGAGAUUAGGAGGAACACCGAUGGCGAAGGCGGCUUACUGGACCGUAACUGACGUUGAGGCUCGAAAGCGUGGGGAUCAAACAGGAUUAGAUACCCGUGUAGUC
Molecule: ribosomal RNA, 458 nt
Filed under: uncultured bacterium
Lineage: Bacteria
Description: partial 16S ribosomal RNA
Rfam family: Bacterial small subunit ribosomal RNA
Source: RNAcentral